GUCCACGCUGUAAACGAUGCGUGCUAGACGUUGGGAAACCUAGUUUCUCGGUGUCGCAGUUAACACUUUAAGCACGCCGCCUGGGGAGUACGGCCGCAAGGUUAAAACUCAAAGGAAUUGACGGGGGCCCCGCACAAGCGGUGGAGCAUGUGGUUUAAUUCGAUGCAACGCGCAGAACCUUACCAGGCCUUGACAUGGGUCCGACCGGUCGGAGAAAUCUGACCUUCCCGCAAGGGCGGGCCACACAGGUGCUGCAUGGCUGUCGU
Molecule: ribosomal RNA, 266 nt
Filed under: uncultured bacterium
Lineage: Bacteria
Description: partial 16S ribosomal RNA
Rfam family: Bacterial small subunit ribosomal RNA
Source: RNAcentral